UCUUUCCUCGCCAGGCUCAUAAUAAAAUUUAUUGUUGUAGCAGCUAUCGUGCUUACUCUUGAAGAAGAACAAAAUAGUAGUAAUGGUACGGCCGGAUCGGACCCAGCGGAAUGAUGAGAGAUAAGAGGCUUGUUGUUAGCGCCGAAAGCGGCCGGAGAAGUCAGCUGUAGAGUUGUGCAUACUGACCUAUGAUGAAUGAUGUGAUGUACUGAUUAUGAUAGGACCUUCGAACAGCGGUGCGCUUCAAGGAAGGAACAGUAAUUUUCUUGACGCUAGCGAACCUUCAGGGCCGCUUUCAAGUUUGGGAUGUCGCUUGCUACGAUGUCGCGCUUUCAGAAUGAAACGUCGUCCACUAAUGCGGACUACUUACUGCUAACAUGCAGUGCAACAUCUAUACAGGCCGUCAGCAGCAAGAAACACAAUCAUGGCAGCGUUUAUAAUGAUCUUCGCCCGCUACCGCCACUUUCCAGCCGAACCUGGACCAUGGAUGACGGUUCGGUAGAGACAGAAUUACUGGUGCACCCCAGCUAGCUACGGACCAGGACUAUAGGAGUGACUGGUGUUCAGCUGGAGGACUAUAGGAGUGACUGGUGUUCAGCUGGAGUCGGAAGCCCAUGCCUGCUGCAUAUACUUGGAGUGGAGCUGACAGAGACGGGUCAGAGCUUUGAAUACAGGCAGCCACACAGCUCGCACAAAGAAAUCCAGGGACAUGGAAGACGACCAAGACAUGUACUGAGUUUGAUUGCAUUGGCAAAGUCAACAACAGGGUCACGGAUAUCGAUCGGCAAAAAUAACGCAAUCUUGUCAGUGCGAGGGCAUGAUAAGUUGCGCCAGCGGGAGAUGCAACAGCAGCAGUAAUGCUGAUGGCGGACUACAGCGGCCAUGAUAGGUCAAUGCAGCAAGAGGAGAAUCAGUCAUAGUCAUGCCAGGUUUGAAAACUGCAUCAAGGCAGCAAAGCAGCAACAAUAGUAUUAGCACCAGCCUGUUACAUCAGCAGCAGCAGCAGCUUCACCAGCAGCAGCAGCUUCACCAGCAGCAGC
Long non-coding RNA from Sycon ciliatum, 1040 nucleotides. RefSeq lists it as uncharacterized. The transcript is spliced from 4 exons. The record is from RefSeq and is a predicted model, not a curated record. NCBI's taxonomy places the organism in Eukaryota, Metazoa, Porifera, Calcarea, Leucosolenida, Sycettidae.